Molecule: long non-coding RNA, 1314 nt
Filed under: Monodelphis domestica (gray short-tailed opossum)
Lineage: Eukaryota; Metazoa; Chordata; Mammalia; Didelphimorphia; Didelphidae
Description: lncRNA (ENSMODG00000041376.1)
Source: RNAcentral
GGGGACUUGCAAGAACUUACUUGUUAGAUUGUAAACUUUUCAAGGACAAAAACUAUUUCAUUUUUUGACUUUGUAUCAAUUUAUUAACAUCCUGCCUGGCACAAAAUAAAUACUAAAUAAAAUCUUUGCUGAUUCCUUACUGGAUUAUUUCUGAGGACAAAGUUUAACCUUGUGACAUUACUCCUCAAUGGAAUUUGUACAGGGAUGAAAAUAUUCUAUAAAUGAGGACACCGAAAUUCAAAAUGAACAACAGCAUAGACCCCAGGAACCCUCCUCCUGGACCUGGAUCAAAAGCCAGAUGGAUGAUGGGGCUCGGUGGCUAAGGCCUAAACAGCAGGUGGACCAUGAAAGCCAUUCUUAUACCUCUACGAAAAGGGAAAGCAAACAGUCCUGUUGUCAUUUGUGGUGAGAAGAAUCCAAAGACUGAGGAAGCUUCCCAAAGGGCUCCAUCAAGAGCAUCAGAAGUCUCUUGGUGUGAAGUGAUUCCUGGGAGAGCAGCCAUUGAUUCUCAGCAAGACUCUGAAAUGUUAUACUAGGCCUGAGUGUCUUGUUUUCACUUUCCAACAGUGUGCCUUGCAUUAAAACAGAAGGAUGUAGCUGCUGUUGUUAAAGAAUAUCGAAAAUACUUUUGGCUUUUUUACUCACUGCUACUUCACUUCAGAUUUGGGCAUAAUAGCUAAGAGAAAUACUUUUUUGAGUUCUCCGUUUCACCAUGAUUUUGAAAAUACAUAUUCUUAGAUAUUUUUUAAUUUUUCUAAAAAUUAUCAGAUUUGAUAUCAUGUCACAUCUGCCACAUAGAGAGGAAUCUAAGGUUGUAGGGGAACUUGGGAAAUCUUAUUUAGUCAUUUAUUUUAUUGAUGAGGAAACUGAGGUCUAGAAAGAAUGCUUUAACCAAGAUGAGAUCCUUGAUUAACAAUAGAAUUAAUACAUGAAACCAAGUGUCCAGAAUCAUAGCCCAAGGGUCUUACCACAUUACAAAACUUUCUCCUAUCAAUAUUACACUUUUCCCAGUCAAUGGAAUGACUCAAAUUUACCAAUGAUCUUUCUAGCCUGCUUUUUGUUGUGCCCUGUACCCCUACAUACACUUCAACAUGCAUAAAAUCAACCCAUUCUGAUGAGGACAGGUCAAUGGUAUUGAUGAUCAUUUUUUUCCAAUGACAUUCUCCCUAUUCACAAUCACAUUAUUAUGAACUUAAUUCUAAACAAAGCAGAAAAAGACAAACAUACAUUCUGCUGAUAAGGAAUUUUAUUUAGGCAGAUGUAUGGAUAAGGAGAUGAUAAGCAGAAUGUUUUAAAAAGAUUUUUCUAAAAAAG